UACGUAGGCGGAUUGAUAAGUUGGAUGUGAAAUCUUUGGGCUCAACUCAAAAACUGCGUCCAAAACUGUCAGUCUAGAGUUUGGGAUAGGAAAACGGAAUUCCUGGUGUAGGAGUGAAAUCUAUAGAUAUCAGGAAGAACACCGAUGGCGAAGGCAGUUUUCUGGUUCAAAACUGACGCUGAUGUACGAAAGCUAGGGGAGCGAACG
This 207-nucleotide ribosomal RNA is filed under the name uncultured bacterium. Its description in RNAcentral is "partial 16S ribosomal RNA". It matches the Rfam family "Bacterial small subunit ribosomal RNA", at positions 568 to 774 of the family's 1533-position model. The record is from RNAcentral.